GACGAACGCUGGCGGCGUGCUUAACACAUGCAAGUCGAACGGAAAGGCCCUGCUUUUGUGGGGUGCUCGAGUGGCGAACGGGUGAGUAACACGUGAGUAACCUGCCCUUGACUUUGGGAUAACUUCAGGAAACUGGGGCUAAUACCGGCUAGGAGCUCCUGCUGCAUGGUGGGGGUUGGAAAGUUUCGGCGGUUGGGGAUGGACUCGCGGCUUAUCAGCUUGUUGGUGGGGUAGUGGCUUACCAAGGCUUUGACGGGUAGCCGGCCUGAGAGGGUGACCGGCCACAUUGGGACUGAGAGACGGCCCAGACUCCUACGGGAGGCAGAAGUGGGGAAUAUUGCACAAUGGGCGGAAGCCUGAUGCAGCAACGCCGCGUGCGGGAUGACGGCCUUCGGGGGGUAAACCGCUUUCGCCUGUGACGAAGCGUGAGUGACGGUAAUGGGUAAAGAAGCACCGGCUAACUACGUG
RNAcentral lists this ribosomal RNA (468 nucleotides) under uncultured bacterium. RNAcentral's name for it is "partial 16S ribosomal RNA". It matches the Rfam family "Bacterial small subunit ribosomal RNA", at positions 28 to 507 of the family's 1533-position model. The record is from RNAcentral.